GAUGAACGCUGGCGGCGUGCCUAAUACAUGCAAGUCGAACGAACAGACGAUGAGCUUGCUCCUCUGACGUUAGCGGCAGACGGGUGUGUAACACGUGUAUAACCUACCUAUCAGACUGGGAUAACUUCGGGAAACCGGCGCUAAUACCAGAUAAGAUAUUGAACCGCAGGGUUCAAUGGUGAAAGACGGUUUUGCUGUCACUUAUAGAUGCAUCCGCGCCGCAUUAGCUAGUUGGUCAUGUAACGGCUUACCAAGGCAAGUAUGCGUAUCCGACGGAAGAGGCGGGUCGGCCACACGAGAACUUAGCCACCGUCCAGACUCCUACGGUAGGCACCAGUAGGCAACGUGACGCAGUGGGCGAAAGCAUUACGGAGCAAGGCCGCGCGAGUGAUGAAGGUCUUGCGUUCGUAAAAAUGGCUUAUGAGUUAAGAACCAAUGUGUAAGUAACUAUGCACGUCUUGACGGUACCUAAUCAGAAAGCCCCGGCUAACUACGUG
This 497-nucleotide ribosomal RNA is filed under the name uncultured bacterium. RNAcentral's name for it is "partial 16S ribosomal RNA". It matches the Rfam family "Bacterial small subunit ribosomal RNA", at positions 28 to 507 of the family's 1533-position model. The record is from RNAcentral.